This is a non-coding RNA of Paralichthys olivaceus (Japanese flounder), 858 nucleotides long. The record is from RefSeq and is a predicted model, not a curated record. Lineage: Eukaryota; Metazoa; Chordata; Actinopteri; Pleuronectiformes; Paralichthyidae.
UAGGACCCCUAAUAUAUACGUCCCGUACACCUCACGGUCCACUUCCAACGAGUCCAGUCGAUCAUUUAGCCAGCUUUCAAACUCCCCGGCGUCUGCCAUGGGCGCGGCCAUCUUGGACCUGUGGGGUCUUUCGGUAGCGCACGGAUGUCCUAUGUGACUGCCUGUUGAAAAAGAAGAUUGUGGAUGACAUCAGUGAUCGAAUCUGUGACACAUGAUGAAUGGGUGGACACUAAGGGACAAGACAUCAGUGCUUUAAAAGUGUUUAUCCAUGGUUGGUGAACUUCCGUGACCUAUGGCAGUCGGGAGAAACUUUUUGUCGUGGCUUUGGCGCCCUGCCUGGAUGACCGUGCCAGCUCUUGCCGCUUCUGAGCAGAGCAGACGAGUGAUGGGAAGGGGGCUGAGUGGAUGCGUCUAGACAGCCAAGUGGAGGAGGGCAAAUAUUUAGCCAUGUCACUUGGGGAGGGGAUGCGGGCCUCCUCUUAGCCACAGAAUCAGGCCAUGUCUCCAUCCUGCUCCCAAAGCUGCUUCGCACUCUGUAUUCAGGGUCACGGAUCUCAUUUCUUGGAUAAUAUUUCAAGCUGGUCACAGAUGGGGAAUUAAAUUGAAGACCUGGCUUGGAAUUGGGCAUAAAGGAUGGAUUUUGGGGGCUUCUCAGAGAGAUGAUAUGAAAAAGGAAACAGAUACUGUAACUGUAGAUGUACUUAUCCGACAUUUAAGGGUUUCUAUUAAUAAAUGCAUGAAACGCUGACUUAGUUGUUUGCUCGCUGAAAGCAGAACAACCCCCACAGUCACCACCUAUAAUCUGACAUGAGUCACUUCAUUUUAGAAUGAAUUGUUACUUUGCUGUUGAUGGCUGAU